CAUCCAGACCAGACUUUUGAUCGUGUUUUAUUUCCAUUUAACAACUGAGGGUACUGAAGUUCUAAAACCUUCAUGAUGGGGAAGAAUUCAGAGGCAGCUCCUAAAAGAGCUCACCCUUGAGUGUGAGUCCGUUCUAAGUAAGUCAGGUGGGUUGGAAGCUUUGUGAACAUGAAUUUAUUCGGAUAUCUUUUUUUAAGGGAGUGAUAUAAUUAAGGGUUGAGAUUUUUCUAUUUUUCGUUUUAGAGGUUUUUUGGUUACCUAAUAGAUCAGCCUAAUGAAUCUAGAGAAAAGAAAUUUAUCUUUCAAACAGAAGUAUUUAGGUGCAUGAGUAAUGAACUAAAUGCUAUUGGCACAAUGAAGCUUACCUCUUAGGCUGAGAACAGUGUGGAAAUCAUGCCCGAAGCUUCAGGGAUGAAACCAGAUAGGCUUCUGACUGUGGGACCUUCCGGAGCGUGUAUUUGCAUUUUGGCAGGAAAAUAUCUGUGGUAUGCACACCCAUGCUGUUUGUUCCUCAUAACCCACAGUUGGGUUUCAUCUGGAUUCCCCCCCCCGCCCCCACCUCUAACCCAUCGUCUCUUGCUCUAAGAAUUGCUACUGCCCCUGCCCAAACCCACAGGGGUGUGCUUCUGAGGCAGGCUUACAUCAAAAGGGCCUGCCCCACUCUUGACUGGGGGAAGCCAUCUUCAAAUUGGGCUGGACCAAGCAGAGAAUGUCUCCUGGAGAAUGGUGUUGGGCCUGGCCAGUCAGUUGGUCAGUGGCUGGCUGGAGCCGGGCAUGAAAUGGAGCCAGGGUUGAACCAGACAUUUCUACCUGUGCCUUCAAUCAAACAAAAAUCUCCCUCUCAGUUAUAAGAGCUAAGAGAGAACCUGAUAUGGACAAGGAUGCCUUCCUUCUUCCGCUCAGUAAUUGUGAUUUCCCUAGGGUGUGACUGCUAACGACUGAUUUCUACCACAAUAAGAACCUGGAUGCUAUUGGAAUUUAUUAGACUCCCUGUCACUAGAAGUACAUGUAGGUGGUUUUGAGUUCAAGCUGAUAGUCACGAACAGGUGUUAUAACCUCGAAUUUUGUUUGAGACAGGCUGCUUCCUCAGCCUUUUAGAAGAGAGGUACAAGUAGGCCAGGGGCUGUGUUAGUGACUAAUCUCACAGGGCUCCCCAAAGGCUUCUAUUCAGGUUUUUUAAGUGAUAGGCAUGCUAACAGGGCUGAUGCUUAUUACUUUGAAUCAGGUACUAAUGCCUUAUUCUUGUUAUUACUUUCACAAAACAUGAAAACUCAUUCUGAGAUUAAAGGGUUUUCAUCAUUUUUAAGAUAAUGGUAUAUCAACAAGAAAUUGUACUUGGCUGUGAGUAACAAAGACAUGAAAAACAGACCUACAAAAUUAGAGGCUUUAUUUCUCACAUUAAACAGAAACCUUAGGGUGGCAUCCAGGGCUUGGUAUGGUAGCUUCACGGCCCAGUUUCCUUCCAUCUGCCAUCCUUAGCAUGUGGUUUCCAUCCUCGUGGACAUCAGAUGGCUACUGGAACUCUAGCCAUCAGGGCCACAUUGCAAAUGGAAAAAGGGGAAGGGCCAAGAGCAAACUAUGCAUGCCAGUUAGUUGGGUCCCACCCAGUAGCUUCUACUUAUAUCUCAUUGGCUAGAUUUAGUUCCAAGGUCAUCUGGCAAGAGAGGCAAGAAUAUAGAAAUACUCAGCCUGGCUCAUUGCUGCCUCAGACAAAAUUAGAGUUCUAUUAGCAAAAAAGAAGCGGGGAGGGGUUAUCCAGCAGUCUGUGCUCUGUGUCUAAAGAAAUAUUUCUGUAGGAAGCAUUCUAUUGGCUUAACAUUUUAUAGUCAAAACCUAUGAGAAUUUCAUAUAAAAUUUUCACAUAAUAUUGUAAAAUCUCUGAUAGGGUUUCCACAGCUGACUUACCAUCAUUUCGAAUUAAAACCAUGCAUUAGAUUCUUAAUCAUCCCAUCCAGACAUCCCUGUGUCUGCCAGUUCUCCAGACUAAAAGCCAUAGUUUUCUCUUUCUUACCUUUUAUUUUUCAUGUUAAACCACUCCUUAAUGUUAUCUGCCUACUAUCCAGAGUAUCUCUUAGAUCUAUCUGUUUCUUUCCACCCCAGCCAUCAGUCCAAUUUGACAUCCACUAAGUAAGGCACUGUGCUAGGCUCUGUGUAUGCAGAGAUCAUUAAGGCACUUAGUUGCAGGACUUCAGUUCUGGGUUAUGCACUCACACCAGCUGAAGAGCUAAUCUUCCUGUUUCUACCUUCAGACCUGCCACUCCUUGUGCAUGCAACCCUUACUCAGACAUUUCUUCCCCAUCUUCCCACAAGAUGUGGGUCAAAAUCUGUGUUUUUCAGUUGCCCCACAGCCUGCAUCCAUUGUGGUUAUGCAGUCUUAGCUUCCCGUGGCCAUGUGGAGUUAGGGCGGAUACUGGAAAGAUCCCUGUCCAGCCAUUUCAUGGCACCGUCACCUUCAUCAAAAUCUCUGGCUCCAAGUGUUGUGUGUGAACAAUGGUGAUGGGUAGCAAGGAACACUUGAGUGAAUUUGUCAGAAAUAGGAACAGCAAGAAAAUUUGAAAGGGCCUCCUGUUUUCAGAAGGCACUUGACUACCUUUGGAUCAAUUCAGAGAGGCUUCAAUGACUCUUAAGAGGAUUAGGCCAGAGGACUUCAGUGAAACUUUUGUGCUUUUGUUUCAUAGGAUGGAAACCCUUGACAAGUGUUAUAUACAAACAACACUUAAGGUGGAACAAGAGCUUUUCAAUGA
RNAcentral lists this long non-coding RNA (2744 nucleotides) under Lynx pardinus (Iberian lynx). Lineage: Eukaryota; Metazoa; Chordata; Mammalia; Carnivora; Felidae. The record is from RNAcentral.